This 460-nucleotide ribosomal RNA is filed under the name uncultured bacterium. Its description in RNAcentral is "partial 16S ribosomal RNA". It matches the Rfam family "Bacterial small subunit ribosomal RNA", at positions 338 to 795 of the family's 1533-position model. The record is from RNAcentral.
CCUACGGGUGGCAGCAGUGAGGAAUAUUGGUCAAUGGGCGAAAGCCUGAACCAGCCAAGUCGCGUGAAGGAAGAAGGAUCUCUGGGUUGUAAACUUCUUUUAUAGGGGAAUAAAGGGAUGCACGUGUGGAAGUUUCCAUGUACACUUUCAUUCCGGCUCGGCUAACUCCGUGCCAGCAGCCGCGGUAAUACGGAGGAUCCGAGCGUUAUCCGGAUUUAUUGGGUGUAAAGGGAGCGUAGGUGGGUUUUUAAGUCAGUUGUGAAAGUUUGGGGCUCAACCAUACAAUUGCAAUGGAAACUGGCAGGCUGGAGUGCAGUAGAGGUAGGUGGAAUUCGUAGUGUAGCGGUGAAAUGCAUAGAUAUCAGGAAGAACUCCGAUGGCGAAGGCAGCUUACUAAACUGUAACUGACAUUGAUGCUAGAAAGCGUGGGGAUCAAACAGGAUUAGAUACCCGAGUAGUC